Non-coding RNA from Trichonephila clavata, 73 nucleotides. The record is from the annotation of a GenBank genome assembly. NCBI's taxonomy places the organism in Eukaryota, Metazoa, Arthropoda, Arachnida, Araneae, Nephilidae.
GUCUCUGUAGCACAAUGAAUAGCGCGUUGGACUUCUAAUCCAAAGGUCGUGUUUUCAGUUACAACCUGGGAUG